This 468-nucleotide ribosomal RNA is filed under the name uncultured bacterium. RNAcentral describes it as "partial 16S ribosomal RNA". It matches the Rfam family "Bacterial small subunit ribosomal RNA", at positions 28 to 507 of the family's 1533-position model. The record is from RNAcentral.
GACGAACGCUGGCGGCGUGCUUAACACAUGCAAGUCGAACGGAAGGGCCCUGCUUUUGUGGGGUGCUCGAGUGGCGAACGGGUGAGUAACACGUGAGUAACCUGCCCUUGACUUUGGGAUAACUUCAGGAAACUUGGGCUAAUACCGGAUAGGAGCUCCUGCUGCAUGGUGGGGGUUGGAAAGUUUCGGCGGUUGGGGAUGGACUCGCGGCUUAUCAGCUUGUUGGUGGGGUAGUGGCUUACCAAGGCUUUGACGGGUAGCCGGCCUGAGAGGGUGACCGGCCACAUUGGGCCUGAGAUACGACCGAGACUCCUACGGGCGGCAGCAGUGGGGAAUAUUGCACAAUGGGCGGAAGCCUGAUGCAGCAACGCCGCGUGCGGGAUAACGGCCUUCGGGUUGUAAACCGCUUUCGCCUGUGACGAAGCGUGAGUGACGGUAAUGGGUAAAGAAGCACCGGCUAACUACGUG